UAACACAGCUAUUAAGUGCUACCUGCCU
Molecule: non-coding RNA, 28 nt
Filed under: Homo sapiens (human)
Lineage: Eukaryota; Metazoa; Chordata; Mammalia; Primates; Hominidae
Source: RNAcentral